GCCUAGUUAGCUUAGUUGGUAGUGCGUCUGCCUUGUAAGCGCUAGGCCGCGGGUUCCAUUCCCGCCCGGGGCA
Molecule: transfer RNA, 73 nt
Filed under: Diaphorina citri (Asian citrus psyllid)
Lineage: Eukaryota; Metazoa; Arthropoda; Insecta; Hemiptera; Psyllidae
Rfam family: tRNA
About the family: Transfer RNA (tRNA) molecules are approximately 80 nucleotides in length. Their secondary structure includes four short double-helical elements and three loops (D, anti-codon, and T loops).
Source: Rfam by way of RNAcentral